RNAcentral lists this ribosomal RNA (777 nucleotides) under uncultured Neocallimastigales. RNAcentral describes it as "partial large subunit ribosomal RNA". It matches the Rfam family "Eukaryotic large subunit ribosomal RNA", at positions 24 to 621 of the family's 3401-position model. The record is from RNAcentral. Lineage: Eukaryota; Fungi; Neocallimastigomycota; Neocallimastigomycetes; Neocallimastigales.
UAUGUGAUCGUCUCUCGCAUAUCAAUAAGCGGAGGAAAAGAAACUAACAAGGAUUCCCCUAGUAACGGCGAGUGAAGCGGGAAGAGCUCAAAUUUGAAAUCUUAAAGGGUUUCCCUUUACGAAUUGUAGUUUAAAGAAGUGUUUUCUGUUGAGGUUUUGGUAAAAGUUCUUUGGAAUAGGACAUCAUAGAGGGUGAGAAUCCCGUAUUUGACCUUUACUUUCCAACUUUGUGAUACACUUUCAAAGAGUCGGAUUGUUUGGGAAUGCAGUCCAAAAUGGGUGGUAAAUUUCAUCUAAAGCUAAAUAUUGGCGAGAGACCGAUAGCGAACAAGUACCGUGAGGGAAAGAUGAAAAGAACUUUGAAAAGAGAGUUAAACAGUACGUGAAAUUGUCAAAAGGGAAGCGUUUGACACCCAGUGGUUGUUUUUCUGAAAAUCAAUUAAAGAACUGUUUAUGUUAAGUUGUUUAGACUUUAUCAGCUAACUGUUUAGUUUUGAGCUUUUCUUUAAUGCACUUUUCAGUUAACAAGUCAACGUCAAUUUCUUUUGCUGUAAAAAAGCUUGAGGAAGGUGGCUUGAGAUUCGUCUUAAGUGUUUAUAGCCUCUUGCCUAUGCAGUCGGAGAGAUUGAGGUCUGCAGCGUAGAUCCUUCGGGGCUAAAUGCAUUUGUGCUAAGUUAUAACAUUUUAUAGACAACUUGUUGACUAUGAUUUGUCUUGUAGCUUACUCGCUUAUGUUAUUUUACCUACGCUUAGGAUGUUGAUAUCGCGCUCUCACUG